UGUCCUAAAUUUCUACCGUAAACGAUGACAACCAGCGAUUAGUCGGUGUUAAUAUACGACCCGACUAGCAGCUUCCGGGAAACCAAAGUUUUUCGUUUCCGGGGGAAGUAUGGUUGCAAAGCUGAAACUUAAAGGAAUUGACGGAAGGGCACCACCAGGAGUGGAGCCUGCGGCUUAAUUUGACUCAACACUGGAAAACUCACCCGGCCCGGACACCGUAAGGAUUGACAGACUGAGAGCUCUUUCUUAAUUCGGUGGGUGGUGGUGCAUGGCCGUUCUUAGUUGGUGGAGCGAUUUGUCUGGUUAAUUCCGAUAACGAACGAGACUCUGGCCUAUUAAAUAGUCGGUAUAUCCAGAAGAGUUUACCGUACUUCUUAAAGGGACAAACGUGCGUCCAUACGCGUGAAAUAGAGCAAUAAAUAGGUCUUUGAAUGCCCCUUAAA
Molecule: ribosomal RNA, 443 nt
Filed under: uncultured eukaryote
Lineage: Eukaryota
Description: bacterial SSU rRNA
Rfam family: Eukaryotic small subunit ribosomal RNA
Source: RNAcentral